RNAcentral lists this ribosomal RNA (2378 nucleotides) under Providencia stuartii. RNAcentral's name for it is "partial 23S ribosomal RNA". It matches the Rfam family "Bacterial large subunit ribosomal RNA", at positions 591 to 2925 of the family's 2925-position model. The record is from RNAcentral. Lineage: Bacteria; Pseudomonadati; Pseudomonadota; Gammaproteobacteria; Enterobacterales; Morganellaceae.
GGGUGACUGCGUACCUUUUGUAUAAUGGGUCAGCGACUUAUAUUCUGUAGCAAGGUUAACCGAAUAGGGGAGCCGUAGGGAAACCGAGUCUUAACUGGGCGAAUGAGUUGCAGGGUAUAGACCCGAAACCCGGUGAUCUAGCCAUGGGCAGGUUGAAGGUUGGGUAACACUAACUGGAGGACCGAACCGACUAAUGUUGAAAAAUUAGCGGAUGACUUGUGGCUGGGGGUGAAAGGCCAAUCAAACCGGGAGAUAGCUGGUUCUCCCCGAAAGCUAUUUAGGUAGCGCCUCGUGAACUCAUCUUCGGGGGUAGAGCACUGUUUCGGCUAGGGGGUCAUCCCGACUUACCAACCCGAUGCAAACUACGAAUACCGAAGAAUGUUAUCACGGGAGACACACGGCGGGUGCUAACGUUCGUCGUGAAGAGGGAAACAACCCAGACCGCCAGCUAAGGUCCCAAAGUCAUGGUUAAGUGGGAAACGAAGUGGGAAGGCUCAGACAGCCAGGAUGUUGGCUUAGAAGCAGCCAUCAUUUAAAGAAAGCGUAAUAGCUCACUGGUCGAGUCGGCCUGCGCGGAAGAUGUAACGGGGCUAAACCAUGCACCGAAGCUGCGGCAGCGACAUGUAAAUGUUGUUGGGUAGGGGAGCGUUCUGUAAGCCUGUGAAGGUGUGCUGCGAGGCAUGCUGGAGGUAUCAGAAGUGCGAAUGCUGACAUAAGUAACGAUAAUGCGGGUGAAAAACCCGCACGCCGGAAGACCAAGGGUUCCUGUCCAACGUUAAUCGGGGCAGGGUGAGUCGACCCCUAAGGCGAGGCAGAAAUGCGUAGUCGAUGGGAAACAGGUUAAUAUUCCUGUACUGGUGAUAAUUGCGAUGGGGGGACGGAGAAGGCUAGGCUGGCCGGGCGACGGUUGUCCCGGUUUAAGGAUGUAGGUGGGUGAAUUAGGCAAAUCCGGUUCGCUAUACACUGAGGUCUGAUGACGAGUCACUACGGUGGCGAAGUAGCUCAUGCCCCGCUUCCAGGAAAAGCCUCUAAGCUCUAGAUUAUCAUUAAUCGUACCCCAAACCGACACAGGUGGUCAGGUAGAGAAUACUCAGGCGCUUGAGAGAACUCGGGUGAAGGAACUAGGCAAAAUGGUGCCGUAACUUCGGGAGAAGGCACGCUGGCAUUAGGUGAAGUGGUUUACCCAUGGAGCUGAAGCCAGUCGCAGAUACCAGCUGGCUGCAACUGUUUAUUAAAAACACAGCACUGUGCAAACACGAAAGUGGACGUAUACGGUGUGACGCCUGCCCGGUGCUGGAAGGUUAAUUGAUGGGGUUAUCCGUAAGGAGAAGCUCUUGAUCGAAGCCCCAGUAAACGGCGGCCGUAACUAUAACGGUCCUAAGGUAGCGAAAUUCCUUGUCGGGUAAGUUCCGACCUGCACGAAUGGCGUAAUGAUGGCCAGGCUGUCUCCACCCGAGACUCAGUGAAAUUGAACUCGCUGUGAAGAUGCAGUGUACCCGCGGCAAGACGGAAAGACCCCGUGAACCUUUACUAUAGCUUGACACUGAACAUUGAGCCUUGAUGUGUAGGAUAGGUGGGAGGCUUUGAAGUGUGGACGCCAGUCUGCAUGGAGCCAACCUUGAAAUACCACCCUUUAAUGUUUGAUGUUCUAACGUCGCCCCAUAAUCUGGGGUGCGGACAGUGUCUGGUGGGUAGUUUGACUGGGGCGGUCUCCUCCCAAAGCGUAACGGAGGAGCACGAAGGUUGGCUAAGCAUGGUCGGACAUCAUGCGGUUAGUGCAAAGGCAUAAGCCAGCUUGACUGCGAGAGUGACGGCUCGAGCAGGUACGAAAGUAGGUCUUAGUGAUCCGGUGGUUCUGAAUGGAAGGGCCAUCGCUCAACGGAUAAAAGGUACUCCGGGGAUAACAGGCUGAUACCGCCCAAGAGUUCAUAUCGACGGCGGUGUUUGGCACCUCGAUGUCGGCUCAUCACAUCCUGGGGCUGAAGUAGGUCCCAAGGGUAUGGCUGUUCGCCAUUUAAAGUGGUACGCGAGCUGGGUUUAGAACGUCGUGAGACAGUUCGGUCCCUAUCUGCCGUGGGCGUUGGAAGAUUGAAAGGGGCUGCUCCUAGUACGAGAGGACCGGAGUGGACGCACCGCUGGUGUUCGGGUUGUCAUGCCAAUGGCACUGCCCGGUAGCUAAGUGCGGAAGAGAUAACCGCUGAAAGCAUCUAAGCGGGAAACUUGCCUUGAGAUGAGUCUUCCCUGACUCUUUAAGGGUCCUAAAGGAACGUUUAAGACGAAGACGUUGAUAGGCUGGGUGUGUAAGCGUAGCGAUACGUUGAGCUAACCAGUACUAAUGAACCGUGAGGCUUAACCUGACAACACCGAAGGUGUUUUAG